This is a non-coding RNA of Chrysemys picta bellii (western painted turtle), 1020 nucleotides long. The record is from RefSeq and is a predicted model, not a curated record. NCBI's taxonomy places the organism in Eukaryota, Metazoa, Chordata, Testudines, Emydidae.
AGAAGCUUCAUUUAAAAUUAAAUUAAAAUGCAGAGCUCCCUAGACCGGUGGCCAGGACCUGGGCAGUGUGAGUGCCACUGAAAAUCAGCUCACGUGCUGCCUUCGGUUGCCUACCCCUGCACUAGACUGUGGCUAGUCAGAGGACAGACUGCAAUGAGCAUUAUUCUGGAAAGCAGGCAGGUUGGCAGUUGGAGAACUGUUGUGGGAAGCAGAAAAUUCAAAAUGCCUGAAGAAGCAUAUUGUAGCUACCAAAGAAGGUUGGAUUUGCAUUGAAUUGUCUGGGUGACUUGCAGCAGCUGUUGGAACAGGACUCCUUGAUUCAGUAACUGCUAAGAAAGGCUGUUUUGUACUGUUUAAACACAGAAUUUGUGCUCCAGCAUCAACUAUUUCAUACUACAGAGUCCCUGACUUCACUGGGUGUUUUGCCAGUGUCAAAGAGCAGUAAUUAUCAAUAAUAUCAGUAAAUAUCAGUAAUUGUCAGAUUUCUUCCUCCAUUAAUUUUUGCCUAAAUCAGUAAUGGACCCAAUAUAAAUACAGUCUUGGACUGGUGUUUAAUAGUAUACUGCUGCUCCAGAUGCACAGAAAAUCAUAGUUUUGUGGAUCUUAAAAUAGCAACUAUUUUUAAAUUAUAAGAAAUAACUUGUUAGGCAAGUAAUAUCCUCUCUAUAAAAUAUCUGGAGGCCUUCCUCUCUCAGACUAUUUUUUUUUAUUUGUCAGAUUUUGAUCUUAAGAGUUUGACAGUGUCCCUUUCACAUUACUUUAAUUAAAUAUAUUUAAAAUCGGUUAAGUUUAAGUAUAGCAAAACUUGGGGUGUUUAGAAUUGUUGUUUGUAAAAAGUCGGAAGCACUGUCUGUGUUAAGUUUGUUGUUUUCAAUAUUGUGGAGGUUUUACAGAAAAUAUUAAACUUGGUCUGUCUUCUAUCAGAACUUUACUGAUGUUGGCUCUCUGUUUUCUAGAUAAAACUGUAUUGCAUCUUAUUUUGCCAUGGAUACUCAUAAUAAAAGUGUUAUCAUAAUAGUA